GAAUAGCCCCGGUUGCAGCGGCAUCCUUUUUUUAUUUUCAAAAAAAGAUACAGCGAAAAACGGGACUCGAC
Molecule: non-coding RNA, 71 nt
Organism: Flavobacterium frigoris
Lineage: Bacteria; Pseudomonadati; Bacteroidota; Flavobacteriia; Flavobacteriales; Flavobacteriaceae
Source: Rfam